This 1716-nucleotide long non-coding RNA is filed under the name Paramuricea clavata. The record is from RNAcentral. Lineage: Eukaryota; Metazoa; Cnidaria; Anthozoa; Malacalcyonacea; Plexauridae.
AAUAUGUAAGUAAUUGUGCAACAAAUUGAUUUGCAUAAUCCCAAGACUCUGACUCUAAAAGUUCAAUGCUAAAAUCUCCCAUAACGUAACAGAGUUUAUUUUCACUGUUAAUUUUUCCUAAAAUUUCAUUCCUUGUAUUUUUAAAUGUGCCCUAAUAAAAAGUGCCGAAUACCACUCGUUUUGAAGACUGAAAUCGUGCAUAACGAUUGUAGCAGAGCUUUUCCACAUAUGUGCAGUCCUCAGUCUCUUGAUGUUUCAAAGCAAUUAUCCUUUUUUUUUAUCAAUUAUGGAAAUCCACUUUUAUGUGGGGGCUGUCUUUUUGACAACCCGCAGUAAAGGGAUACGACAAACUUUGACUGAAAAUGAACGUUUUCUAUUUGUUACUUAUUUCUUAUUUUCUACUUUUAACCUAUAGGUACGAAAUAAUGACAAAUUGUUGGAAAGUUGAACCAAGCGAGAGACCCACAUUUGAAGAUUUGCACGAAUCCCUUAAUGCCAUGCUAAUGGGUGAUGAGGUAUUAUUUAUCUUAAAAGAAAUCAUUCACUUCAUAUUAAAACAUCAUGCGGAAAAUUAAACAAACAAUGCUGUCUGCUUUCUCAUGACUUUGUUUUCUUGUAGUAACAUGGUUAAUGUGAACGCGAGAGUGGAUUACGCCCUAAAAAGCCGUAUUGCCCCCGUCUGAAUAGCUUUAUUUCUGAUUCGGACGAAGCAGAAAUUCGACGUUUAGAGUGAAAAAAAAGCUAAGUCAACGCAUCAAAGCGGCAUAAAGUAAACGUUUUAAAAAAAUUUUCCAAUGUUCCGAACGCUUGAACAAAUAACACUAUAAAACGACAGGAGAAAAACGGCAAAUUAGUUGUCAGAAGUUUUAGGUAAUUUAUGUUUUAAAUUAAUGAAAACUAUAAACAUGAGAACUUACUUGAACAUUUUUGGGAAAAAUGGACGCAACAUAGGCUAAGGCUCGUCAAAGCUUUCUUAAUUAAUUUUAAUGCAAAUAACAGAUUUUCCAAUUAUGGUUUAGGUACUUGUUAUUCACUUUAUCUCAAUACUCAAAAUAGCUGCAUGCUUUCAUGUACCUGUAUGUAGCAGAUGAAAAUUAAGUUGGUCUAGAAACGUAGUUGCCUUUCUAUAUUUAUAUAUCAAUGUUAAGUUGUUUCUAAUUUUGUAUAGAGCGCGGAUACCGAAACCAUAUUUGAUCUUUCAAUCACAAAAAAUAAUCAAAUAAUACAGAACUCUCGAAAUAUUUUUGGAAAGUAAAAGAAAACAAACAAGAUUUCGACAUAACUUGGUUAGUACUAAAACACACUUUUUCUACGGGAGGAUCAAAAAGUUGUAAUUAACAAAAAAUCGGAAAAGUUUCGACCUGUAGUCAUAAAACGAAAUUCCAACUAAACAACGAUAGCAAUGGAAGGAAUGCAUGUAUUGUUUGAUGCCCACACGCCCACGUUUCCGACUGCAAACAUUUAUUUAUCAAUAAGCAGUCCAUUUUUCAAAAUUUGGCAGCCACCUGAUUUUUCUUGAAUAAAACAGGCUGUUGUGGCAACGUUUUGAGGUAAAAUUAUUUCAUUUACUUAUUUAUAUCUUUAUUAGAAAUCGUACAUCAAUAUCACGCAAGUGGUUGGCGAAGGAACACUGACAACGACAAUGGAACCAAGAAGCGUUUCUACUGGAGAUGGGUCUGAAAAUGCAUGACGAACACAGCAGUGUGAUAAGCAAUU